RNAcentral lists this long non-coding RNA (1111 nucleotides) under Marmota monax (woodchuck). The record is from RNAcentral. Lineage: Eukaryota; Metazoa; Chordata; Mammalia; Rodentia; Sciuridae.
CAGGAUUCUAGUCAUAUUGUAAGACCAUUGCAAUGAAAAUAGUAACCUUUAACAAUGGCAGGUCUGCAAGAUGUGGGAAGAAGCAUUGAUUAAUAUUUACUGAGCAGAUACUUUAAAAUUCAUACCCUCAAAUAACCCGAGAGAAAGACCUGUACGACAGAGCUUUAUCUAAACUCUCACUUUGCUUGUAAUACCUUUAAAUUUUUACUAAUACAAUAUAGGAUAAAAGAAUAGCCAGGAAAAAAAAAGCUCCCACAGGAAAUACAAGUCUUGGCUUAAGUAAACUUAAUGUGUGUCAAUCAAAUAAUAAUUAUAAUAAUAGAAAAAUGUUAGCACACAAAAAUUAGGUGUGAUUAUUUGUAUUGAAAUAGCUUUUUCAGAUUUGCUGCAGGGUUGCUUUAACCCAACAUUCAUCAUGGUUUAUUUCUCCAUUUUUUUUCCUCAGCACACAAUUCUUAGGGAUACUUUUAUCGUAUGAAACAAGCCGAGUACAUAUUAUUACCUAUUCGUCAAACCAGUACAUCACUUUUAACCUGUCUUUGGAUAAUCAGGUGUCCCUUUUUCAGUUGUUGUUUAAAAAAAAUAAACAUUGGCACCAGGCAGGUCUUUGUGACCCCACAAGAUUGACAACCAGGGACUGUUUACACUGACUGGAUAAGCACAGCUUAUCUUCCUGACGCUCUGGGUCUGAAUGAUUUUGAAACAUAAUCUAUGACUGGGCUUUGUGAAGUAUUGAAGGACUUCAUAUGUUUGUGACUGCUCAGACCCAUGCUAACCACACACUCACAGGUGCUGGCUUCACUCCUUGGCUAAUCUGUCUCACUUCUGCUUACCUCAGAACUAUGUUCCUGGAUUUGUCACUGAGAAUGGCAUCCAGGGUGCUGGUUGUAUUUCUAGUUGGCCAUUCCUGAAUCCUUGGGAUGCACUGAAGUAGCACAUGGCAUUUUUACUGUGAUUCUGCUAUGGACUGAAUUGUGUUCCCCCUGGAGUCCAUAUGUUGAAGCACGUAUCUGGAGAUGGAGUCUUUAAGAGAUAAUCAAGAUUGAGUAAGGUCUUAAGGGUUGGGCCUCAAUUUGAAAGGACAAUGGUGUUCUAAAAAGAAGAAGAGAUU